RNAcentral lists this ribosomal RNA (274 nucleotides) under uncultured bacterium. RNAcentral describes it as "partial 16S ribosomal RNA". It matches the Rfam family "Bacterial small subunit ribosomal RNA", at positions 523 to 796 of the family's 1533-position model. The record is from RNAcentral.
AUACGGAGGGUGCAAGCGUUAUCCGGAAUCACUGGGUUUAAAGGGUCCGUAGGCGGGCUAAUAAGUCAGGGGUGAAAUCCCACAGCUUAACUGUGGAACUGCCCUUGAUACUGUUGGUCUUGAGUUACAGUGAAGUGGUUAGAAUGUGUAGUGUAGCGGUGAAAUGCAUAGAGAUUACACAGAAUACCGAUUGCGAAGGCAGAUCACUAACUGUAUACUGACGCUAAUGGACGAAAGCGUGGGGAGCGAACAGGAUUAGAAACCCUAGUAGUCC